UUGAAGAGUUUGAUCAUGGCUCAGAUUGAACGCUGGCGGCAGGCUUAACACAUGCAAGUCGAACGAUGAUUAUCUAGCUUGCUAGAUAUGAUUAGUGGCGGACGGGUGAGUAACAUUUAGGAAUCUACCUAGUAGUGGGGGAUAGCUCGGGGAAACUCGAAUUAAUACCGCAUACGACCUACGGGUGAAAGGGGGCGCAAGCUCUUGCUAUUAGAUGAGCCUAAAUCAGAUUAGCUAGUUGGUGGGGUAAAGGCCUACCAAGGCGACGAUCUGUAGCGGGUCUGAGAGGAUGAUCCGCCACACUGGGACUGAGACACGGCCCAGACUCCU
This 330-nucleotide ribosomal RNA is filed under the name Aurantiochytrium limacinum. RNAcentral describes it as "partial Bacterial small subunit ribosomal RNA". It matches the Rfam family "Bacterial small subunit ribosomal RNA", at positions 1 to 340 of the family's 1533-position model. Lineage: Eukaryota; Bigyra; Thraustochytrida; Thraustochytriidae. The record is from RNAcentral.